Long non-coding RNA from Homo sapiens (human), 504 nucleotides. RefSeq lists it as uncharacterized. NCBI's taxonomy places the organism in Eukaryota, Metazoa, Chordata, Mammalia, Primates, Hominidae. The record is from RefSeq and is a predicted model, not a curated record. The transcript has 5 exons.
UUUACUCAUUUUAGUGGUUCACUCUUUGGAUCUAGGACCUUGGUCAGCAUGAGCAUUGCACUCACAGAGAGGGUGACACGUUUCCUGAUGCCUGAAAGAGAGAAAUAAGAUGGCCCAGGAGACUCCAGGGCACUCUGCCCACUAAGCAUCUUUUUGGUCCUCCCCCUGCCAGAUUGAAAGAUGACAGACUGAGGACAAGCCCUAAGGGGACAGAGAGUCUAAGGCUCCAUGUUCCAACUCUGCAAGCCCCACCUCAGCUCAACUCAACACCUUAGACCUUCAGCUCACAGUUCUCUACAGGACACUUGUGAAAACUUGGAAAAUAUUAAUUGCUUAACAGUCCGCUUGCAAGUUGAACAGGCAGAUAAGGAGGAAAAGCCUUUCUUCUUUGACAAGCUUUCCAUGAAACAUAACCCCAGAACACGAGUGCCCAGAUGUAUACAUUCCAGGCAUGAAAAUGAAGGAUAAUUCUCCAAAAAGACUGACUGGCCCUUGGGACAAGAU